AUGAGGAUAAUGAGAGAUAUUCAUUUAGAAUGGCCGAAGAAGAAAUAUAGUGAUUUUGUCAAAUGACUAUAGAAGCUUUCAGGCAAAGGGAUUGUUAUCCGAUG
This 104-nucleotide non-coding RNA is filed under the name Sporanaerobacter sp. PP17-6a. Its description in RNAcentral is "Glycine riboswitch aptamer". It matches the Rfam family "Glycine riboswitch aptamer". From Rfam's summary of the family: This family represents the bacterial glycine riboswitch. Glycine riboswitches usually consist of two metabolite-binding aptamers domains with similar structures in tandem. Lineage: Bacteria; Bacillati; Bacillota; Tissierellia; Tissierellales; Sporanaerobacteraceae. RNAcentral also lists the same sequence under 1 other name. The record is from Rfam by way of RNAcentral.